UAGGGAAUAUUGGUAAUGGGCGAAAGCCUGAACCAGCAACGCCGCGUGUGCGAUGAAGGCCUUCGGGUUGUAAAGCACUUUUGACCGGGACGAGGAAGGACGGUACCGGUGUAAUAAGCCUCGGAUAACUACGUGCCAGCAGCCGCGGUAAAACGUAGGAGGCGAGCGUUAUCCGGAUUUACUGGGUGUAGAGCGCGUGCAGGCGGUUAGCUAAGUUGGGUGUGAAAGAUCCAGGAUCAACUGGGAGUGGUCGCUCAAGACUGGCUGACACUAGGAUGGUAUGCGAAGGUGGAGUUCCGGGUGAAGUGGUGAAAUGCGUAGAUAUACGGAGGAACACCAGUGGAGAAGACGGCCUUCUGCACCAUCACUGCCGCUCAGACGCGCAACCUAGGGUAGCAAAC
This 401-nucleotide ribosomal RNA is filed under the name uncultured bacterium. RNAcentral's name for it is "bacterial SSU rRNA". It matches the Rfam family "Bacterial small subunit ribosomal RNA", at positions 355 to 773 of the family's 1533-position model. The record is from RNAcentral.